Molecule: non-coding RNA, 72 nt
Organism: Papilio xuthus (Asian swallowtail)
Lineage: Eukaryota; Metazoa; Arthropoda; Insecta; Lepidoptera; Papilionidae
Source: Rfam
ACGUCGGUGGCUCAGGGGUCAAGCACUUGACUUGUAAUCCGCAGGUCCUGGGUUCGAAUCCCGGCAAGUGUU